GACGAACGCUGGCGGCGUGCUUAACACAUGCAAGUCGAACGGUGAAGAAGAGAAACGCGAACUUCGGUUCAAAUUUCACUUCGGAGUAGUGGCAGACUGAUGAGUAACGCGUGAGCGACCUACCUCUUACAAAGGGAUAGCCUCGGGAAACCGUGAUUAAUACCAUAUGACACAUUCAUAAAGCAUCUGAAGAAUGGUAAAGCUACGGCGGUAAGAGAUGGGCUCGCGUCACAUUAGCUAGUUGGUGAGGUAACGGCACACCAAGGCGACGAAGGGUAACUGGGAGGAGAGCGUGACCGGUUACGUUGGAAAUGAGACACGGUCUACAACCGUACGGAAGGCAGCAGUAGGGUAUACUGCGCACUGGAGGGAAAUGUGAUGAAGCGACGCCGGGUGAGCGAUGAAGGAAUUCGUAUCGUAAAGCUGUGUUCUAUGGGAAGAAAAGGACUGUACCAUAGGAGAAAGCACCGGCUAAAUACGUG
Molecule: ribosomal RNA, 482 nt
Filed under: uncultured bacterium
Lineage: Bacteria
Description: partial 16S ribosomal RNA
Rfam family: Bacterial small subunit ribosomal RNA
Source: RNAcentral